UGAGACAACUCCGAGGAGUCUGAGAAAUUUGGGGGAAGAAUUUGAACUUGCCUGCAAUUCCCAAGCAGUAGAGGAAGUUGGUCGGAUGAUUACUUGCAGGUUUCUGAAAGUCUUCCCACUGGCAAUACCUCAGAAGGACACCAGAGGACGAUGUAUUUUAACUGUUCGGAUUCUCUCUAAAACCCCAUCUUUCUUUUUCAGAGUCUCAAAUCUCAACUGACAAAUUAACCUAAGAA
RNAcentral lists this long non-coding RNA (236 nucleotides) under Homo sapiens (human). RNAcentral's name for it is "HSALNT0113398". The record is from RNAcentral. Lineage: Eukaryota; Metazoa; Chordata; Mammalia; Primates; Hominidae.